Molecule: ribosomal RNA, 840 nt
Filed under: uncultured bacterium
Lineage: Bacteria
Description: bacterial SSU rRNA
Rfam family: Bacterial small subunit ribosomal RNA
Source: RNAcentral
CAUGCAAGUCGAACGAGAAUCUACUGAAAGAGUUUUCGGACGAUGGAAGUAGAGGAAAGUGGCGGACGGGUGAGUAACGCGUGAGGAACCUGCCUUGAAGAGGGGGACAACAGUUGGAAACGACUGCUAAUACCGCAUGAAGCAUAGGGGUCGCAUGAUUCUUAUGCCAAAGAUUUAUCGCUUCAAGAUGGCCUCGCGUCUGAUUAGCUAGUUGGCGGGGUAACGGCCCACCAAGGCGACGAUCAGUAGCCGGACUGAGAGGUUGAACGGCCACAUUGGGACUGAGAUACGGCCCAGACUCCUACGGGAGGCAGCAGUGGGGAAUAUUGGGCAAUGGGCGCAAGCCUGACCCAGCAACGCCGCGUGAAGGAAGAAGGCUUUCGGGUUGUAAACUUCUUUUAAGAGGGAAGAGCAGAAGACGGUACCUCUAGAAUAAGCCACGGCUAACUACGUGCCAGCAGCCGCGGUAAUACGUAGGUGGCAAGCGUUGUCCGGAUUUACUGGGUGUAAAGGGCGUGCAGCCGGGUCUGCAAGUCAGAUGUGAAAUCCAUGGGCUCAACCCAUGAACUGCAUUUGAAACUGUAGAUCUUGAGUGUCGGAGGGGCAAUCGGAAUUCCUAGUGUAGCGGUGAAAUGCGUAGAUAUUAGGAGGAACACCAGUGGCGAAGGCGGAUUGCUGGACGAUAACUGACGGUGAGGCACGAAAGUGUGGGGAGCAAACAGGAUUAGAUACCCUGGUAGUCCACACUGUAAACGAUGAAUACUAGGUGUGCGGGGACUGACCCCCUGCGUGCCGCAGUAAACACAAUAAGUAUUCCACCUGGGGAGUACGAUCGCAAGG